ACAUGCAAGUCGAACGGCAGCACAGGAGAGCUUGCUCUCUGGGUGGCGAGUGGCGGACGGGUGAGGAAUACAUCGGAAUCUACUUUUUCGUGGGGGAUAACGUAGGGAAACUUACGCUAAUACCGCAUACGACCUACGGGUGAAAGCAGGGGAUCUUCGGACCUUGCGCGAUUGAAUGAGCCGAUGUCGGAUUAGCUAGUUGGCGGGGUAAAGGCCCACCAAGGCGACGAUCCGUAGCUGGUCUGAGAGGAUGAUCAGCCACACUGGAACUGAGACACGGUCCAGACUCCUACGGGAGGCAGCAGUGGGGAAUAUUGGACAAUGGGCGCAAGCCUGAUCCAGCCAUACCGCGUGGGUGAAGAAGGCCUUCGGGUUGUAAAGCCCUUUUGUUGGGAAAGAAAUCCAGCUGGCUAAUACCCGGUUGGGAUGACGGUACCCAAAGAAUAAGCACCGGCUAACUUCGUGCCAGCAGCCGCGGUAAUACGAAGGGUGCAAGCGUUACUCGGAAUUACUGGGCGUAAAGCGUGCGUANGUGGUCGUUUAAGUCCGUUGUGAAAGCCCUGGGCUCAACCUGGGAACUGCAGUGGAUACUGGACGACUAGAGUGUGGUAGAGGGUAGCGGAAUUCCUGGUGUAGCAGUGAAAUGCGUAGAGAUCAGGAGGAACAUCCAUGUCGAA
Molecule: ribosomal RNA, 677 nt
Filed under: uncultured Stenotrophomonas sp.
Lineage: Bacteria; Pseudomonadati; Pseudomonadota; Gammaproteobacteria; Lysobacterales; Lysobacteraceae
Description: bacterial SSU rRNA
Rfam family: Bacterial small subunit ribosomal RNA
Source: RNAcentral